GAAUAUUGGACAAUGGGCGGAAGCCUGAUCCAGCAACGCCGCGUGAGGGAUGACGGCCUUCGGGUUGUAAACCUCUUUCAGUACCGACGAAGCUGUCCUUUUUGGGGUGGUGACGGUAGGUACAGAAGAAGCACCGGCCCACUACGUGCCAGCAGCCGCGGUAAUACGUAGGGUGCGAGCGUUGUCCGGAAUUAUUGGGCGUAAAGGGCUCGUAGGCGGUUUGUCGCGUCGGGAGUGAAAACAUCCAGCUUAACUGGGUGCUUGCUUUCGAUACGGGCAGACUUGAGGUAUGCAGGGGAGAAUGGAAUUCCUGGUGUAGCGGUGAAAUGCGCAGAUAUCAGGAGGAACACCGGUGGCGAAGGCGGUUCUCUGGGCAUUACCUGACGCUGAGGAGCGAAAGUGUGGGGAGCGAACAGG
This 417-nucleotide ribosomal RNA is filed under the name uncultured bacterium. Its description in RNAcentral is "bacterial SSU rRNA". It matches the Rfam family "Bacterial small subunit ribosomal RNA", at positions 359 to 776 of the family's 1533-position model. The record is from RNAcentral.